This 186-nucleotide non-coding RNA is filed under the name Fidelibacterota (SAR406 cluster). The record is from RNAcentral. Lineage: Bacteria; Pseudomonadati.
UUCACAUUUCAUAAAAAUAACAUUAAGAUAGUCCNGAGUAAAUGUAGGGAAUNCUAGUGAAANUCUAGAACAGUCCCCGCUACUGUAAUUACUGAGAUUUAAUAAUUACCAUUCCAUGAAAGCUGGGAGAAGGUGUUAAAUCGUUAAUAGGUAUAAGUCAGGAGACCUUAUUUACUAAAACAAUAA